Molecule: small RNA, 172 nt
Filed under: Chelonoidis abingdonii (Abingdon island giant tortoise)
Lineage: Eukaryota; Metazoa; Chordata; Testudines; Testudinidae
Description: TUC338 (ENSCABG00000009632.1)
Source: RNAcentral
UUGGCCUUGGAACUGAAAUAUUUAUUUUACAGAACACGUACAUCACAGGCAGCGGCAGCAGUUCAAGCUUCCCCCAAAGUGCUCUGCCAAUGUGCUACUACUCUGAUCUGGAGAAACUACCACUGGAUGAAAGACAGUAGUUGUCUCUGUACUCACUCAAUCUGUGCUGUCU